UCCCGUGUGGCUCAGUUGGUAGAGCAUGGUGUUUGCAACGCAAGGGUUGUGGGUUCAAUUCCCACGGGGGGAC
RNAcentral lists this transfer RNA (73 nucleotides) under Salmo salar (Atlantic salmon). It matches the Rfam family "tRNA". Rfam says of the family: Transfer RNA (tRNA) molecules are approximately 80 nucleotides in length. The record is from Rfam by way of RNAcentral. Lineage: Eukaryota; Metazoa; Chordata; Actinopteri; Salmoniformes; Salmonidae.